This 158-nucleotide microRNA precursor is filed under the name Pelobates cultripes (western spadefoot toad). Lineage: Eukaryota; Metazoa; Chordata; Amphibia; Anura; Pelobatidae. The record is from RNAcentral.
CGCCCCCUAUACGUCAUCAUCAAGUAAACUUUGACCCGGAACCUCACAGUCAGCAGACACUUCCUGGGAGGGAGGGUCUGCUGCUGAUUGGGUGGAAUGUGUCUGCUGGCUGUGAGGUUCCGGGUCAAAGUUUACUCAAUGAUGACGUAUAGGGGGCG